This 22-nucleotide non-coding RNA is filed under the name Arabidopsis thaliana (thale cress). The record is from RNAcentral. Lineage: Eukaryota; Viridiplantae; Streptophyta; Magnoliopsida; Brassicales; Brassicaceae.
UAUUUCUGUGUGUAUCCAUUCA